RNAcentral lists this ribosomal RNA (253 nucleotides) under uncultured bacterium. Its description in RNAcentral is "partial 16S ribosomal RNA". It matches the Rfam family "Bacterial small subunit ribosomal RNA", at positions 524 to 776 of the family's 1533-position model. The record is from RNAcentral.
UACGUAGGGGGCAAGCGUUGUCCGGAAUCAUUGGGCGUAAAGAGCGUGUAGGCGGCCCGAUAAGUCCGCUGUGAAAGUCCAGGGCUCAACCCUGGGAUGCCGGUGGAUACUGUCGGGCUGGAGUCCGGAAGAGGCGAGUGGAAUUCCUGGUGUAGCGGUGAAAUGCGCAGAUAUCAGGAGGAACACCAAUGGCGAAGGCAGCUCGCUGGGACGGUACUGACGCUGAGACGCGAAAGCGUGGGGAGCAAACAGG